AGUGAACGCUGGCGGUAGGCCUAACACAUGCAAGCCGAACGGCAGCACAGUAAGAGCUUGCUCUUACGGGUGGCGAGUGGCGGACGGGUGAGGAAUACAUCGGAAUCUACUUUUUCGUGGGGGAUAACGUAGGGAAACUUACGCUAAUACCGCAUACGACCUACGGGUGAAAGCAGGGGAUCUUCGGACCUUGCGCGAUUGAAUGAGCCGAUGUCGGAUUAGCUAGUUGGCGGGGUAAAGGCCCACCAAGGCGACGAUCCGUAGCUGGUCUAAGAGGAUGAUCAGCCACACUGGAACUGAGACACGGUCCAGACUCCUACGGGAGGCAGCAGUGGGGAAUAUUGGACAAUGGGCGCAAGCCUGAUCCAGCCAUACCGCGUGGGUGAAGAAGGCCUUCGGGUUGUAAAGCCCUUUUGUUGGGAAAGAAAAGCAGCAGGUUAAUACCCCGCUGUUCUGACGGUACCCAAAGAAUAAGCACCGGCUAACUUCGUG
RNAcentral lists this ribosomal RNA (492 nucleotides) under uncultured bacterium. RNAcentral describes it as "partial 16S ribosomal RNA". It matches the Rfam family "Bacterial small subunit ribosomal RNA", at positions 29 to 507 of the family's 1533-position model. The record is from RNAcentral.